AGUGAACGCUGGCGGUAGGCCUAACACAUGCAAGUCGAACGGCAGCACAGUAAGAGCUUGCUCUUACGGGUGGCGAGUGGCGGACGGGUGAGGAAUACAUCGGAAUCUACUUUUUCGUGGGGGAUAACGUAGGGAAACUUACGCUAAUACCGCAUACGACUUACGGGUGAAAGCAGGGGAUCUUCGGACCUUGCGCGAUUGAAUGAGCCGAUGUCGGAUUAGCUAGUUGGCGGGGUAAAGGCCCACCAAGGCGACGAUCCGUAGCUGGUCUGAGAGGAUGAUCAGCCACACUGGAACUUAGACACGGUCCAGACUCCUACGGGAGGCAGCAGUGGGGAAUAUUGGACAAUGGGCGCAAGCCUGAUCCAGCCAUACCGCGUGGGUGAAGAAGGCCUUCGGGUUGUAAAGCCCUUUUGUUGGGGAAGAAAAGCAGCAGGUUAAUACCCCGCUGUUCUGACGGUACCCAAAGAAUAAGCACCGGCUAACUUCGUG
Molecule: ribosomal RNA, 492 nt
Filed under: uncultured bacterium
Lineage: Bacteria
Description: partial 16S ribosomal RNA
Rfam family: Bacterial small subunit ribosomal RNA
Source: RNAcentral